GAGUAACACGUGAGUAACCUGCCCCUGACUCUGGGCAUAAGCCCGGGAAACUGGGUCUAAUACCGGAUACGACACCUCACCGGCAUCGGGUGGGUGUGGAAAGUUUUUUCGGUCGGGGAUGGACUCGCGGCCUAUCAGCUUGUUGGUGGGGUAACGGCCUACCAAGGCGACGACGGGUAGCCGGCCUGAGAGGGCGACCGGCCACACUGGGACUGAGACACGGCCCAGACUCCUACGGGAGGCAGCAGUGGGGAAUAUUGCGCAAUGGGCGAAAGCCUGACGCAGCGACGCCGCGUGGGGGAUGACGGCCUUCGGGUUGUAAACCUCUUUCAGCAGGGACGAAGUUGACGUGUACCUGCAGAAGAAGCGCCGGCUAACUACGUGCCAGCAGCCGCGGUAAUACGUAGGGCGCAAGCGUUGUCCGGAAUUAUUGGGCGUAAAGAGCUCGUAGGUGGCUUGUCACGUCGGGUGUGAAAGCUUGGGGCUUAACUCCAGGUCUGCAUUCGAUACGGGCUGGCUAGAGGUAGGUAGGGGAGAACGGAAUUCCU
RNAcentral lists this ribosomal RNA (548 nucleotides) under Streptosporangium sp. 419G02. RNAcentral describes it as "bacterial SSU rRNA". It matches the Rfam family "Bacterial small subunit ribosomal RNA", at positions 108 to 671 of the family's 1533-position model. Lineage: Bacteria; Bacillati; Actinomycetota; Actinomycetes; Streptosporangiales; Streptosporangiaceae. The record is from RNAcentral.